AGUGAACGCUGGCGGUAGGCCUAACACAUGCAAGUCGAACGGCAGCACAGUAAGAGCUUGCUCUUACGGGUGGCGAGUGGAGGACGGGUGAGGAAUACAUCGGAAUCUACUUUUUCGUGGGGGAAAACGUAGGGAAACUUACGCUAAUACCGCAUACGACCUACGGGUGAAAGCAGGGGAUCUUCGGACCUUGCGCGAUUGAAUGAGCCGAUGUCGGAUUAGCUAGUUGGCGGGGUAAAGGCCCACCAAGGCGACGAUCCGUAGCUGGUCUGAGAGGAUGAUCAGCCACACUGGAACUGAGACACGGUCCAGACUCCUACGGGAGGCAGCAGUGGGGAAUAUUGGACAAUGGGCGCAAGCCUGAUCCAGCCAUACCGCGUGGGUGAAGAAGGCCUUCGGGUUGUAAAGCCCUUUUGUUGGGAAAGAAAAGCAGCAGGUUAAUACCCCGCUGUUCUGACGGUACCCAAAGAAUAAGCACCGGCUAACUUCGUG
RNAcentral lists this ribosomal RNA (492 nucleotides) under uncultured bacterium. RNAcentral's name for it is "partial 16S ribosomal RNA". It matches the Rfam family "Bacterial small subunit ribosomal RNA", at positions 29 to 507 of the family's 1533-position model. The record is from RNAcentral.